ANCAGCUCAAAUUUGAAAUCUGGCCCCGUCGGGGCCCGAGUUGUAAUUUGCAGAGGAUGCUUCGGGCAUGGAUUCGGUCUGAGUUCCUUGGAACAGGACGCCGCAGAGGGUGAGAGCCCCGUAUGUGACCGGCCUCCGUGCCUGUGCGAAGCUCCUUCGACGAGUCGAGUUGUUUGGGAAUGCAGCUCCAAGAGGGUGGUAAAUUUCAUCUAAAGCUAAAUAUUGGCCAGAGACCGAUAGCGCACAAGUAGAGUGAUCGAAAGAUGAAAAGCACUUUGGAAAGAGAGUCAAACAGUACGUGAAAUUGUUGAAAGGGAAGCGCUUGCGACCAGACUUGCCUGCGGGCGAUCAGCCGGCAUUCGUUGCCGGUGCACUCGCCCGCAGUCAGGCCAGCAUCGGUUCGGGCGGCUGAACAAAGUCCCCCGGAAUGUGACUCCCCUCGGGGAGUGUUAUAGCCGGAGGUGCCAUGCAGCCCGCCUGGACCGAGGACCGCGCUUCGGCUAGGAUGCUGGCGUAAUGGUCGCAAGCGACCCGUCUUGAAACACGGACCAAGGAGUCUAACAUCCAUGCGAGUGUUUGGGUGUCAAACCCAUGCGCGGAAUGAAAGUGAACGGAGGUGGGAACCCGUCCGGGUGCACCAUCGACCGAUCCUGAUGUCUUCGGAUGGAUUUGAGUAAGAGCAUGGCUGUUGGGACCCGAAAGAUGGUGAACUAUGCCUGAAUAGGGUGAAGCCAGAGGAAACUCUGGUGGAGGCUCGCAGCGGUUCUGACGUGCAAAUCGAUCGUCAAAUUUGGGUAUAGGGGCGAAAGACUAAUCGAACCAUCUAGUAGCUGGUUCCUGCCGAAGUUNCCCUCANGAUAGCAGUAACGUUUUCAGUUUUAUGAGGUAAAGCGAAUGAUUAGUGGCCUUGGGGAUUUAGAAUCCUUAACCAAUUCUCAAACUUUAAAUAUGUAAGAAGUCCUUGUUGCUUUGUUGAACGUGGACAUUUGAAUGCACCGUUACUAGUGGGCCAUUUUUGGUAAGCAGAACUGGCGAUGCGGGAUGAACCGAACGCGAGGUUAAGGUGCCGGAAUGCACGCUCAUCAGACACCACAAAAGGUGUUGUUUCAUCCAGACAGCCGGACGGUGGCCAUGGAAGUCGGAACCCGCUAAGGAGUGUGUAACAACCCACCGGCCGAAUGAAACAGCCCUGAAAAUGGAUGGCGCUCAAGCGUGCUACCCAUACCUCGCCGCCA
Molecule: ribosomal RNA, 1235 nt
Filed under: Acarospora macrospora subsp. macrospora
Lineage: Eukaryota; Fungi; Ascomycota; Lecanoromycetes; Acarosporales; Acarosporaceae
Description: eukaryotic LSU rRNA
Rfam family: Eukaryotic large subunit ribosomal RNA
Source: RNAcentral